GAUGAACGCUAGCGGCAGGCCUAAUACAUGCAAGUCGAACGAGAUUAAGAGGCUUGCUUCUUAUGAAAGUGGCGCACGGGUGCGUAACGCGUAUGCAACCUACCUUAAUCAGGGGGAUAGCCCGAAGAAAUUCGGAUUAAGACCGCAUAAAAACACAGGAUAGCAUUAUCCAAUGUUCAAAUAUUUAUAGGAUUAAGAUGGGCAUGCGUGUCAUUAGCUAGUUGGCGGGGUAACGGCCCACCAAGGCGACGAUGACUAGGGGAUCUGAGAGGAUGACCCCCCACACUGGUACUGGGACACGGACCAGACUCCUACGGGAGGCAGCAGUAAGGAAUAUUGGUCAAUGGAGGGAACUCUGAACCAGCCAUGCCGCGUGCAGGAAGACAGCCCUCUGGGUCGUAAACUGCUUUUAUUCGGGAAUAAACCUUUCUACGUGUAGGAAGCUGAAUGUACCGAAGGAAUAAGGAUCGGCUAACUCCGUG
This 482-nucleotide ribosomal RNA is filed under the name uncultured bacterium. Its description in RNAcentral is "partial 16S ribosomal RNA". It matches the Rfam family "Bacterial small subunit ribosomal RNA", at positions 28 to 507 of the family's 1533-position model. The record is from RNAcentral.